RNAcentral lists this ribosomal RNA (1788 nucleotides) under Durio zibethinus. Its description in RNAcentral is "SSU rRNA". It matches the Rfam family "Eukaryotic small subunit ribosomal RNA". The record is from RNAcentral. Lineage: Eukaryota; Viridiplantae; Streptophyta; Magnoliopsida; Malvales; Malvaceae.
CCUGGUUGAUCCUGCCAAUAGUCAUAUGCUUGUCUCAAAGAUUAAGCCAUGCAUGUGUAAGUAUGAACUAAUUCAAACUGUGAAACUUUGAAUGGUCAUUAAAUCAGUUAUAGUUUGUUUAAUGGUAUCUACUACUCAGAUAAUUGUAGUAAUUCUAGAGCUAAUACGUGCAACAAACCCCAACUUCUGGAAGGGAUGCAUUUAUUAGAUAAAUGGUCAAUGCUGGCUAUGUCCGUUGCUUUGAUGAUUCAUGAUAACUUAAUGGAUCACACAGCCUUUGUGCCGGUGACGCAUCAUUCAAAUUUCUACCCUAUCAACUUUCGAUGGUAGGAUAGUAGCCUACUAUGGUGGUGACAGGUGAUGGACAAUUAGGGUUCAAUUUCGAAGAGGGAGCCUGAAAAAUGACUACCACAUCCAAGGAAGGCAAUAGGCACGCAAAUUACCCAAUCCUGACACGGGGAGGUAGUGACAAUAAAUAACAAUAUCGGGCUCUAUGAGUCUAGUAAUUGGAAUGAGUACAAUCAAAAUCCCUUAAUGAGGAUCCAUUGGAAGGUAAGUCUGGUGCCAGCGGCCACGGUAAUUCCAGCUCUAAUAGCAUAUAUUUAAGUUGUUGCAAUUAAAAAGGUUGUAGUUGAAACUAGGGUUGGGUCAUCCCGUUCGCCUCACGGUGAGCACCAAUCUACUAGUCCCUACUGUCGGUGAUGCACUUCUGGACUUAAUUGCCUGGGUCAUUCCUCUGGUGCUAUUACUUUGAAGAAAUUAGAGUACUCAAAGUAGGCCUACGCUUGUACACAUUAGCAUGGGAUAACAUCAUAUGAUUUCAAUCCUAUUGUGUUGGCCUUCGGGAUCGGAGUACUGAUUAACAGGGACAGUCAGGGGCAUUCGUAUUUCAUAGUCAGAGGUGAAAUUCUUGGAUUUAUGAAAGAUGAACAAUUGCGAAAGCAUUUGCCAAGGAUGUUUUCAUUAAUCAAGAACGGAAUUGGAGGCUCGAAGAUGAUCAGAUACCAUCCUAGUUUUAACCAUAAACAAUGCCGACCAGGGAUCGAUAGAUGUUACUUUUAAGACUCUGUCGGCACCUUAUGAGAAAUCAAAGUCUUUAGGCUUCGGGGGGAGUAUGGUCGCAAGGCUGAAACUUAAAGGAAUUGAUGGAAGGGCACCAAUAGGAAUGGAGCCUGCGGCUUAAUGUGACUCAACACGGGGAAACUUACCUAGUCCAGACAUAGUAAGGAUUGACAAACUGAGAGCUCUUUCUUGAUUCUAUAGGUGGUGGUGCAUGGCCGUUCUUAGUUGGUGGAGUGAUUUAUCUGGUUAGCACGAAUGAGACCUCAACCUGCUAACUAGCUACACGAAGGUGAUCCAUCGUGGCUAGCUUCUUAGAGGGACUAUGGUCGCUUAGGCCAAGGAAGUUUAAGGCAAUAACAGGUCUGUGAUGCCCUUAGAUGUUCUGGGUCACAUGCAUAUUACACUAAUGUAUUCAAUGAGUCUAUAGCCUUGGUCGAUAAGCACGAGUAAUCUUUGAAAUUUCAUUGUGAUGGGGAUAGAUCAUUGCAAUUGUUGGUCUCCAACAAGGAAUUCCUAGUAAGCGCGAGUCAUCAGCUCACGUUAACUACGUCUCUGCCCUUUGUACACAUCGUCCAUCGCUCCUACCAAUUGAUGGUCCAGUGAACUGUACGAAUCACGGCAACGUGGACGGUUCACCUCCCACGAUGUCACGUAAAGUCCACUGAACCUUAUCAUUUAGAGGAAGAAGAAGUCGUAACAAGGUUUCCAUAAGUGAACAUGCGGAAG